Molecule: non-coding RNA, 2820 nt
Organism: Physcomitrium patens
Lineage: Eukaryota; Viridiplantae; Streptophyta; Bryopsida; Funariales; Funariaceae
Source: RefSeq, a predicted model, not a curated record
CUUCGGUGCUAGGCUACUUCGAUGAUGAGCGCCACUGUGUCGCUUAUAAGAUCCAGUAACUCAAUAGGUUUCAUGAGUUGUUCGGUAGCAUCGUGCCUUGUAACUUCGUUACACAUGUGAUAACGUUGAUUCUGGGUACCUGCAAGUGUCUAGAGCCGGUUAAUUUCGUGCAUCUAGUCCCUGACAACUUCAAACAAGUGUUUUUUUUCUUUUCUUCUUCUUCUUCGUCUUCUAGUGUGAAGAUUGUUGGAGCGCUCUGGAACGCUUGCAGCUUCUCCGUGACCGAACCAUCUGCUUCACAAAAGUGAAGUUGGAAGUCCUGUUUCUGGAGUCAAGUCCCUUGACAGCAGAUAGGCUUGAUAUCCUUCCUGUUCGCAGUUUCAAUGUCAGAGCCACGUUGCACAGGUUCCUCUACUGUAGUCGAGGUUGUCAGUGUAGUUGCUGAAGUCACAUAGCCACCACCCAGCGUUUGGUAAAGACAACAGUCUUCUCUGAAAAACUGUUGUCUUCUCUAAACGCUGUCUCAUCUGCCUAUCAUUUCCGAAGCACGGAGUCUGCGUCGUGCCGAGGGAGGACAGGAUUUCUCCUAUCCUUAAACAAAUCAAGUUGAAGAGGUUCUGCACAUGGGUUGAUGUGCGCGUAACUUAAUAGUAAUGAUCCUCAAGGCUAUCUUCUGGUUCCAAGUGCAGCUUCCAGAGUUUCGAAGCAGGAUUAACUCUGAGCAAUACCGAUUCGUCAAACAUCACCAGAAUCGAAGCACGACGCAGCUGUAGAAAUUUCCUUACACCUAGCCGCUCUAAAUAAGGUUCAGUGUGGUUAACUUAACAAUCACACAAGGGCAUUUCAAGAUGGAUUAAGAGAUCUUCACAAUUAACGAUCCAUGUUUGCUACACAACACAAUGCGACAAGCGUGGAAGAAAGAUCUUGCGCAGGUCGAAGGGGAGACGAGCAGCUGGGCAUCGCAAUCUGCAUCAUCCAGGGCAGUCGUCCAAGAGUUGGAUGAACGAAGGACCAUUGGAUUUGUUUGUCCAUUAACAGUGCUUGAGUUUCUUUGUCGUGUAAUUGUUUUAAGUAUGUGGUCUCAAGUCUGCAUUAUGUGAUGUUCCCUUCGAUGAUGCGGUGAUGUGCUAUUAUGGGUUUCUCACUGGUCGAAUGUUUUCUUUUUGUGUUCGUGUGCGUGCAUUAGGCUGCUAGUUGAGACAGUAGUUACGAGCCAGUUGAGGAGGCUUGUAUGUUUUCAAACUGUUUGGACUAAUAGCCAUGGCUAACUUGACUAGGUCGAUUGAUGUAGAAAUUUGUGUCCAAGGUCGCGGUCUUACACAUUUUCCGAAGCAGGAAGGGCAGAGUCGCGACAAUCCACACGGUGUUUUUGGAGCUGGAUUAGACAUAAACUUUAGCUGGCUGCUAUUGGAAGUCUUCAUGGACUCUUGAAGUUCGAUUGAGAAUGUGGACGCUGUGAGAACAAAGGUAGUCAAAUGUGGGCUCUAGAAUGUUUUCUCCAGCACCAUGUGAAGCUUGGCGUUGCCCAAAUUAAGCUGUCCCUCAAGUAUUGACAGCAUUUUCUUUUUCCAAUGAUUUUGUGCUGUUCAUCCCCCUGGCCUAUUCGCCAUGAGACUUGGCAAAGAUGCCGUCAGGCCUGUGGAGGGAUCCAAGCUUUGCUGUGGGAUUUGCUUCCAAGUAUGCAAUGAGCUCCCGAUACCCUCAGCUAUAUAUCAGUGAACUGUUGCUUAUAUCAUCAUUCAGUUUUGCAUUUUAUCUGCAUGCAAGGUCAGUUGGCAACAGCAGCAAUCGUCUUCAGAUCCAGAUAAGCCUCUCCACACACACCACCUAUCUGCUCAUUGGAACAUUCUGCAUUUUGCAACACGCAAUGGUAUCGUCAGUAGAUAUGGUACCACAGCUCUCUGCACGGUUCUUAGAACCUUCGCACACAAAUCAAGAUUGAUGCAAAAACUUUUGAGAAUAUUAACGAAAAUUCUUGCCGGUUCUUUCUUGAACCCCCUUGACCUCAGCCUCCGACAUCCAAAGUGGAAAGGGUUUUCAACAAGUCACUGCACACACACCCCCCCCCCCCUCCUGGUCGAACAGUUGUUGCUAAUCAUGUAUCUCAGUGGCUCCUCUUCUCCAGUUCGUGGGCAAAAAGUUUUCCAUCAUGUUGUCAGUUGUUAGAAUGCCGACUGCACACAACUGGGUGAAAGCCCACAUGAUAUUGACUUGUAUCGAGUUGCAUUGAAUCAUGAACAGAGAAACAUCCGCAACAAGAGGGAACCUCGUGGGGAUCUCCCUGUGGGACAGCCUUGGCUGUUUGAUGGGCAGUGUCCAAGGCAGCUACCACUUGUCAACAAAAAAAAGGGAACGAAGCUCAUGGCGUACUCUACUACCAGACAAUAGACUGGUCCAAAGCUGGCCAUGACCAGCUUCUGCUUCGAUUUUGCCUCCUUGGUAUCCGAGGUUUGAGAAGCAAAACCAAAGUUCUACGCAACAAAUAUGAUUCAGGCCUUAUUCCCAGAACCUGGUAUGUGUCUUACUCCUCCAAACACUCUUUUUAGUAAACAUUUCUCUGCAACCUGUUUACUGAUCCUUGAAUAUGAUAUUGAGCGUUGGUAUCCAAGUGUGUUUCAACUUAACCGCGUUAGAUCUUCUCUAAUUCUUUCUUAAUGGGGGAAAUGAGAAGAAAAGAAAGGAAAAAAUGUUUGUAGCAUUUGGAGUAGUUCAAGUGCCAGCAGGUUGCUUCUGUCUGUGUCAGGAAAAAAAGAGAGUGUAUACAUUGGCUUUUAUUCAAUUUGGAAACAAAAAAAUAAAAUAAAAUAAAAGCUUUGGUGA